Long non-coding RNA from Microplitis demolitor, 234 nucleotides. RefSeq lists it as uncharacterized. The transcript has 3 exons. NCBI's taxonomy places the organism in Eukaryota, Metazoa, Arthropoda, Insecta, Hymenoptera, Braconidae. The record is from RefSeq and is a predicted model, not a curated record.
GAGGACUUGCUUCAAAUCCCCACAAUUUUUUUUUCAACCAGAAAACUACUCAACUCCCACGCGACUCAUCAUUUCACCUUGUGAAUAAUUAACAAAUGAUGAGUCAAAUUAAUGAAGAUAAAAAAUUAAUUUUACAAGAAGAUAAUCAAGACAUUACAGUAUCCAUAGUAUCGGUUAUAUUUCUAAAAUAAGGAAUCAACACAAUACCUAAAUGUGACCGUUCUUUCUCAAGUG